AGGUCUUGACAUCGUACGCAUAACUCAGAGAUGAGUGAAAUCUCUUCGGAGACGUAUAGACAGGUGGUGCAUGGUUGUCGUCAGCUCGUGUCGUGAGAUGUUGGGUUAAGUCCCGCAACGAGCGCAACCCUUAUGUUUAGUUGCUACGCAAGAGCACUCUAGACAGACUGCCGUUGACAAAACGGAGGAAGGUGGGGAUGACGUCAAAUCAUCAUGCCCCUUAUGACCUGGGCCUCACACGUACUACAAUGGCUGCCAACAGAGGGAAGCAAAGCAGUGAUGCAGAGCAAAUCCCCAAAAGCAGUCUUAGUUCGGAUUGUAGGCUGCAACUCGCCUACAUGAAGUCGGAAUUGCUAGUAAUCGCAGAUCAGCAUGCUGCGGUGAAUACGUUCCCGGGCC
RNAcentral lists this ribosomal RNA (399 nucleotides) under uncultured bacterium. RNAcentral's name for it is "bacterial SSU rRNA". It matches the Rfam family "Bacterial small subunit ribosomal RNA", at positions 976 to 1380 of the family's 1533-position model. The record is from RNAcentral.